This 1242-nucleotide ribosomal RNA is filed under the name metagenome. RNAcentral describes it as "bacterial LSU rRNA". It matches the Rfam family "Bacterial large subunit ribosomal RNA", at positions 1564 to 2815 of the family's 2925-position model. The record is from RNAcentral.
UGAAUACGAGACGCUACGGCGUCGAAGCAGUCUAUGUCAUACUUCCAAGAAAAGCUUGCACUGUCAUAAACAAAUAAUGCCUGUACCAUAACCGACACAGGUGGGUAGGUAGAGUAUACUAAGGGGCGCGAGAUAACUCUCUCUAAGGAACUCGGCAAAAUGACUCCGUAACUUCGGGAGAAGGAGUGCCUUAUUUAUAAGGUUGCAAUAACAAGAUCCAAGCAACUGUUUAUCAAAAACACAGGUCUCCGCUAAGUCGUAAGACGAUGUAUGGGGGCUGACGCCUGCCCAGUGCCAGAAGGUUAAAGAAGUUGGUUAGCAUUAGCGAAGCUGAUAACUGAAGCCCUGGUGAACGGCGGCCGUAACUAUAACGGUCCUAAGGUAGCGAAAUUCCUUGUCGGGUAAGUUCCGACCCGCACGAAAGGCGUAAUGAUUUGGAUACUGUCUCAGAGAGGGGCUCGGUGAAAUAGACUUGUCUGUGAAGAUGCGGACUACCUGCACCAGGACAGAAAGACCCUAUGAAGCUUUACUGUAACUUGAAAUUGAAAUUGGACUUUAUUUGCGCAGUAUAGGUGGGAGGCAUUGAUAAUAUUCUUGCGGGAAUGUUGGAGCCAUCAGUGAGAUACCACUCUUGUAAUGUUAGAUUUCUAACUUUGGAUCAUUAUCUGGUCAAAGGACAGUUUCAGGCGGGCAGUUUGACUGGGGCAGUCGCCUCCUAAAUGGUAACGGAGGCGCACAAAGGUUUCCUCUGAACGGGUAGAAAUCGUAUCUAGAGUGUAAAGGCAUAAGGAAGCUUGACUGUGAGACCUACAAGUCGAGCAGGGACGAAAGUCGGUCUUAGUGAUCUGACGGUGCUGAGUGGAAAGGCCGUCACUCAACGGAUAAAAGUUACUCUAAGGAUAACAGGCUGAUCUCCCCCAAGAGUUCACAUCGACGGGGAGGUUUGGCACCUCGAUGUCGGCUCAUCGCAUCCUGGGGCGGUAGUACGUCCCAAGGGUUGGGCUGUUCGCCCAUGAAAGCGGUACGCGAGCUGGGUUCAGAACGUCGUGAGACAGUUCGGUCCAUAUCCGGUGUAGGCGUUAGAAUAUUGAGAGGAGCCUUCUUUAGUACGAGAGGACCGAGAAGGACAUACCUCUGGUGUACCAGUUAUCGUGCCAACGGUAAACGCUGGGUAGCUAUGUAUGGAGAGGAUAACCGCUGAAAGCAUCUAAGUGGGAAGCCCACCUCAAGAUAAGUAUUCUC